Molecule: ribosomal RNA, 253 nt
Filed under: uncultured bacterium
Lineage: Bacteria
Description: partial 16S ribosomal RNA
Rfam family: Bacterial small subunit ribosomal RNA
Source: RNAcentral
UACGUAGGGUGCGAGCGUUGCCCGGAUUUAUUGGGCGUAAAGGGCGCGUAGGCGGCUCGGCACGUCCGUUGUGAAAUCGCCCGGCUCAACUGGGCGGGGUCAGCGGAUACGGUCGAGCUUGAGCAAGCUAGGGGGUAAUGGAAUUCCCGGUGUAGUGGUGGAAUGCGUAGAUAUCGGGAUGAACACCAGUGGCGAAGGCGGUUACCUGGGGCUUUGCUGACGCUGAUGCGCGAAAGCGUGGGGAGCGAUCCGG